RNAcentral lists this transfer RNA (68 nucleotides) under Ocellarnaca braueri. RNAcentral's name for it is "tRNA-Glu". It matches the Rfam family "tRNA". From Rfam's summary of the family: Transfer RNA (tRNA) molecules are approximately 80 nucleotides in length. Lineage: Eukaryota; Metazoa; Arthropoda; Insecta; Orthoptera; Gryllacrididae. The record is from RNAcentral.
AUUUAUAUAGUUUAAUUAAAACAAUACAUUUUCAUUGUAUAAACAAUACAUCAUUGUAUUUAUAAAUA